Molecule: ribosomal RNA, 368 nt
Filed under: uncultured organism
Description: bacterial SSU rRNA
Rfam family: Bacterial small subunit ribosomal RNA
Source: RNAcentral
CGGAGGGUGCAAGCGUUAUCCGGAUUCACUGGGUUUAAAGGGUGCGUAGGCGGGCAGGUAAGUCCGUGGUGAAAUCUCUGAGCUUAACUCAGAAACUACCAUGGAUACUAUUUGUCUUGAAUAUUGUGGAGGUAAGCGGAAUAUGUCAUGUAGCGGUGAAAUGCUUAGAUAUGACAUAGAACACCAAUUGCGAAGGCAGCUUACUACACAGUUAUUGACGCUGAGGCACGAAAGCGUGGGGAUCAAACAGGAUUAGAUACCCUGGUAGUCCACGCCCUAAACGAUGAUUACUCGACAUCAGCGAUACACUGUUGGUGUCUGAGCGAAAGCAUUAAGUAAUCCACCUGGGAAGUACGAUCGCAAGAUUG